This 207-nucleotide unclassified non-coding RNA is filed under the name Hevea brasiliensis (rubber tree). Lineage: Eukaryota; Viridiplantae; Streptophyta; Magnoliopsida; Malpighiales; Euphorbiaceae. The record is from RNAcentral.
AUUAACAAAAUAUUCAUAAACAGUUAAUUCAAGAGGUUCGCCAUCCCCAUCCCUUCUUUUUAGUUGAAACGUUAGCUCUUUGCAAGGUCUCUCACUCAGACCAGUUAUCUUGUACUCUUGAUUGGAGGGGAUAGCCUUGAUCCUCAGGUUUUUUAGCGUUCGUUUUGCCUUAGUCCAGUCAAGUUGAAAGGGGUCUCUCGCAUUUUG